CUGAAGCAGAAUGAGAAUUCGAAAAUGUAACUACUAUUGCUAAAUGUCACCAAUUUCAGAAUAUGUCUGAAUAUUUGGCAGCUGAUAUGAAAUUCAUAUUGGUCCUCAGAGAUUUAAAAUAAAAGAAGCAAAUUACAUGCGAAGCUAAAAAGGGAAGUAUUUAUAUUUCCACAUUUUGGUAAGGAAAAGGCAGAUGGCUUGUGCACUCUGUAAAUGUGAAAAAGUUGCACUAUUUAAUAGUUUAGCAAGAAUAGAAAGUAAAUGAAGUAACAAUGUGAAAAGUGGUCUCAAUAAAGUUCAUCAAACCAUUGGUAUCUUUGAUGAUAAUUCAUGAUAAUGAUGGUAUAACAAUUGUGCAGAGUAAAUAAGGGGAAAAAAAAAUGAAUGUUUCCAUCAUGGAUUCUGCCUUCAAAAAGGACAUAGUAAAUAGCUGAAUCCGUAGGUAUCCUGAAUUUAUCUGCUUGUACUCCAUGUCAUUUUCUACUUUCUCUGCAUUCCCCCAAAGACCUUAAAUACCUAAUAGUACUUAGCUGGUACUUUCAAGUUUAUAGAGGUUUGUUGAUAACAGGAGAGUAUGCCCAACAAAAACUAGAUGGAGAGAUAUAAAUGGCGUGAUAAAUUUCCUUGAUAUAUUUCUUCUCCAGAGAGAGUUGUCAAAAUUAGCAUUUGGCAGUUCAUAUCCCUCUUGUACUGAACCAAUCUGAGAAUUGAGGCCUAAAUGCAGGCCUCACCGCAUCCCCCACCCAAUGGCCUGAGGUAUAUCUCCUGCCUCCACUAGUCCUCCUGGACCCAAGGGCCCCAGUGGCUCCCCUGGUCCCAAGGGUGACAGUGGUGGAUCUGGUGCUCCCAGCAACAAAGGAGACACUGGCACCAAGGGAGAGCCUGGCCCCACUGGUGUUCAAGGCCCUGCUAGUCCUUGUGGAAAUGAUGGUGCUACUGGUGCUGUUGGACCCCCUAUCUCACUGGUCCUGCUGAUGCUUCUGGCUUCCUUGGUGCUGCUGGUGCUAAGGGUGAAGCCAGCGUACAAGGACCUGGAGGCUAAAGGCACCAACAGUGCCCCUGGUGUUGCUGGUGCUCCUGGCCCCUCCGGACCCCAGAGCCCUAGCAGCUCCCUCCAGUUCCAAGGGUAACAUGUUGCUCCUGGCAACAAAGGAGACACUGGAGCCAAGGAAGAGCCUGAAUCCACUGCUUUUUUUAAGGCCCCUCUGGCCCUGCUGGAGAAGAAGGAAAGCAAGGAACCUCAGGUAAACCUGGACUUGCAGGCCUGAGUGGACUCCCUAGUGAGUGUGGUGGAUCUGGUAACCAUGGUUUCCCUGGCACCAAUGGUAUUGCUGGUCCCAAGGGUCCUGCUGGUGCAUGUGGUUCUCCUGCCCCUGCUGGUCCCAAAUGUUCUCCAUGUGUGGCUGGUCACCCUGGUGAAACUGGUCUACCUGGUGCCAAGAAUCUGACUGAAAGCCCUGGCAGCUGUGGUUCUGAUGGCAACACUGUCCAUCCCCCCUUCCACCCUGCCACAGCCCCCGCCCCUCUGGUCAAGACUGUUGCCCUGGACGCCCAGACCUUCCUGGUGCGUGUGCUUGUGGUCAGGCUGAUGUGAUGGGUUUCCCUGGGCCUAAAGGUGCUCCUGGAGAGCCUGGCAAAGCUGGAGAGCAAGUUAUUCCUGGACACCCUGGCACUAUUGGUUCUGCUGGCAAAGAUGGAAAAGCUGGAGCUCAGGGACCCCUGGGACCUUCUGGCCCCACUGGUAAGAAAGGAUCCCCCAGAGCCAUCCCUAUCAAAAUGAAUCAUUUUGGAUAAUGGCUUUUCUUCUUUCAUGUAAUGGUUUAAUCUAUAGAUUUAAAAUGUGUAAAUAACUUAGCUUUUUAAAUUUCUUCUUAAGUUCAGUUAGUUAGUCAUGAGCUGCACUGAAAAAAUUAAAUCUUGAAGCAAUAGCAACCAUUGGCUUGAGCUUUUCAUCAGGCUUUAAAAAAAACCAAACUUACCAGACACAAUAGAGUAUAUACUAGAGUAUAUACAUAUAAAUUGUGCUAUAAUUCGCUAAAGUCUGUUACCAAAUGAAAGUUCCUAUGCCCACAUAGUGAGGCCAAACAUACAGAAACAGAGUUUGGAGCAGAUUCAUUCUAAGGUCAAGAAAGGAGAAAGAGUGGCUCCUUCAAAGAACCCAAACUCUCCAAAGCGUUUCACAUCAGAAAGUCUGUCUGGGGGCUACAUGCUCAGGGUCAUCAACUAGUUAAUUUCUUCCAUUUUUUUUGGUGGUUCUAGCAUCUGAAAAAUUCAGGAAAUAUGUAUGAGAUACUGUAUCUAAGUACUUCAGAAAGGAACUAAAGCAAAGAUAUGGGGGAGGGGUCUUUCCUGGGAAAGUCCCAUAGGCUCCUACUAGGUUACAUGCGUGCCCAGUGGAAAAGAGGUUUCUGAGAGUUUCCCUACCUGAGCUGUCAACACUGAGAAUCUGAAGUGAUAUUUCUGGGCUCUGAGUCCUGUCUGUGCCACUUUCUUAUUGUAAGAAUCUGAGCAAGAAAGUUAAUUUUUUAUGCUUCAUUUCACUCUCUCCAACAUGGGGGAAAUUGUACCUAUCUCAUAGGGUUGAUGAAAGGCUUAAAUAGGUUAAUAUCUGGAAUAUUAUUACAAGAGAGCCUGGGUCAUGUUGAGUAAGGUGUAAGUGAUAGCUAAAUGAAACAUUGGUUAAAUCCGGAAAAAUUUUUUUCAGAUAAAAGCAGCAGGGGUGUACGUAUGUGUGGGUGCGUGCUCAAAUGUGGCCGUAGUCAAGUUUCCAAUGCUGUUUUUCUUGACAAUAUAUUUAAGCUGGAAUAUUUCAACUAGUAGGACAUGCUCACUAUUUGAAUCAUUUUCUGGCUAGAAGUAGAAAGCAAUGCUAUAUUAUCCAAUUAUAACACAUUAUUUUGCAAUAGAGUGUGUUCUAAUACAAUAAAUUCCAUAUAGGUAGUAUAUACAUUAUUAUAGUAUCUUAUAUUUGAAAUACACUUUCUUACAAAACCUUCUUUUUUAUGGUUAAAGUUAAAAUAUUUUAAUGAUUUAUCUAAAAUUAGUUGUGAUUGCAAUAUCUGGACU
RNAcentral lists this long non-coding RNA (3066 nucleotides) under Sus scrofa (pig). RNAcentral's name for it is "lncRNA (ENSSSCG00050010206.1)". The record is from RNAcentral. Lineage: Eukaryota; Metazoa; Chordata; Mammalia; Artiodactyla; Suidae.